GAUGAACGCUGGCGGCGUGCUUAACACAUGCAAGUCGAACGAGAAGUGGAGACGGAAACCUUCGGUCGGAAGCCUUUAUUUCGAGUGGCGGACGGGUGAGUAACGCGUGGGUAACCUGCCUCCUACAGGGGGGUAACAGUUGGACACGACUGCUAAUACCGCAUAAGACCACAGCACCGCCUGGUGCGGGGGUAAAAACUCCGGUGGUAUGAGAUGGACCCGCGUUCGAUUAGCCAGUUGGCGGGGUAACGGCCCACCAAAGCGACGAUCGAUAGCCGAUCUGAGAGGAUGACCGGCCACAUUGGGACUGAGACACGGCCCAAACUACUACGGGAGGCAGCAGUGGGGAAUAUUGCACAAUGGGGGAAACCCUGAUGCAGCGACGCCGCGUGAGUGAAGAAGUAUUUCGGUAUGUAAAGCUCGAUCAGCAGGGAAGAAAAUGACGUUACCUGAGUAAGAAGCCCCGGCUAACUACGUG
This 478-nucleotide ribosomal RNA is filed under the name uncultured bacterium. RNAcentral's name for it is "partial 16S ribosomal RNA". It matches the Rfam family "Bacterial small subunit ribosomal RNA", at positions 28 to 507 of the family's 1533-position model. The record is from RNAcentral.